GAAAAGGCCCUUUUCAGGGUCACAAAUUCAAAAUACAAGAGCCCUU
Stegodyphus mimosarum is the source of this 46-nucleotide non-coding RNA. The record is from Rfam. NCBI's taxonomy places the organism in Eukaryota, Metazoa, Arthropoda, Arachnida, Araneae, Eresidae.